Molecule: long non-coding RNA, 219 nt
Filed under: Elaeis guineensis (African oil palm)
Lineage: Eukaryota; Viridiplantae; Streptophyta; Magnoliopsida; Arecales; Arecaceae
Description: long non-coding RNA (EGUI_LNC081275)
Source: RNAcentral
UAGAUUCACCGUAGAUUCAUCGAUCGACGAUCGAGCCAUUGGUUCGGUGAUCGACGAUCCAGUCGUAGAUUCGUCGAUCGGGAUGCGUUGGUCGAGGCCCUUUGCCUUCAAAGGCGGAGGCCAUCGCAGAUAUUUCGCUCUUUCGAUCUCCGUCGUAAAAUCCGCACAUGAGGAGAGGAGAGAGGGGCGUAGGAGUCAUACCUGCGAUGCGUCGAUCUC